UCCUCUUCAUCGGGGUCAUCCUC
RNAcentral lists this microRNA (23 nucleotides) under Callorhinchus milii (elephant shark). RNAcentral describes it as "eshark_mir-877_1". Lineage: Eukaryota; Metazoa; Chordata; Chondrichthyes; Chimaeriformes; Callorhinchidae. The record is from RNAcentral.